AUGCUUGGGAACUUGCCUUUGCGAGGGGGAUAACAGUUGGAAACGACUGCUAAUACCGCAUAAUGUCUACGGACCAAACGGGGCUUAGGCUCCGGCGCAAAGAGAGGCCCAAGUGAGAUUAGCUAGUUGGUAAGGUAAUGGCUUACCAAGGCAACGAUCUCUAGCUGUUCUGAGAGGAAGAUCAGCCACACUGGAACUGAGACACGGUCCAGACUCCUACGGGAGGCAGCAGUGGGGAAUAUUGCACAAUGGGGGAAACCCUGAUGCAGCCAUGCCGCGUGUGUGAAGAAGGCCUUAGGGUUGUAAAGCACUUUCAGUCGUGAGGAAAGGUUAGUAGGUAAUAUCUGCUAACUGUGACGUUAGCGACAGAAGAAGCACCGGCUAACUCCGUGCCAGCAGCCGCGGUAAUACGGAGGGUGCGAGCGUUAAUCGGAAUUACUGGGCGUAAAGCGUGCGUAGGCGGUUUCUUAAGCGAGAUGUGAAAUCCCGGGGCUUAACCUCGGAACUGCAUUUCGAACUGGGUGACUAGAGUUUUGUAGAGGGUGGUGGAAUUUCCAGUGUAGCGGUGAAAUGCGUAGAGAUUGGAAGGAACAUCAGUGGCGAAGGCGGCCACCUGGACAAAAACUGACGCUGAGGCACGAAAGCGUGGGGAGCAAACAGGAUUAGAUACCCUGGUAGUCCACGCCGUAAACGAUGUCAACUAGCCGUCUGUAUCCUAGAGAUGUGGGUGGCGUAGCUAACGCGCUAAGUUGACCGCCUGGGGAGUACGGCCGCAAGGUUAAAACUCAAAUGAAUUGACGGGGGCCCGCACAAGCGGUGGAGCAUGUGGUUUAAUUCGAUGCAACGCGAAGAACCUUACCAUCCCUUGACAUCCUGCGAAUUUUCUAGAGAUAGAUUAGUGCCUUCGGGAACGCAGUGACAGGUGCUGCAUGGCUGUCGUCAGCUCGUGUUGUGAAAUGUUGGGUUAAGUCCCGCAACGAGCGCAACCCUUAUCCUUAUUUGCCAG
Molecule: ribosomal RNA, 1006 nt
Filed under: uncultured Thalassomonas sp.
Lineage: Bacteria; Pseudomonadati; Pseudomonadota; Gammaproteobacteria; Alteromonadales; Colwelliaceae
Description: bacterial SSU rRNA
Rfam family: Bacterial small subunit ribosomal RNA
Source: RNAcentral